Long non-coding RNA from Megalobrama amblycephala (Wuchang bream), 1247 nucleotides. RefSeq lists it as uncharacterized. The transcript is spliced from 2 exons. The record is from RefSeq and is a predicted model, not a curated record. NCBI's taxonomy places the organism in Eukaryota, Metazoa, Chordata, Actinopteri, Cypriniformes, Xenocyprididae.
AACAUUCAAUAAUUAAAAUUAUUAUAUAACAUUAUUUGACAAUAUUAUUAGAUAUUAAAUUAAAAUUGUGUGAGUAGCCUGCAUUACACAAUGUUAUAGGCAACAGAUUCUUCUCUAGAUAGAAACAAAAUAGAAGACGGCAGAAACGUCCUUUGCUCCGGGCCGGUUAGUGGAAUCUGGCACCCUCAAAGGGCUUGGCCGAUUGCUAAACGGAAUAUUGGAGUCGCAAGCAAAUGUAAAAACGUUUUGGUGACUAUUGAUAUUUGACAUGCAAAUAAAUCUGUAUGACAUGUUAAAAAAAUCAAUUUGUCCAGUAAUCACCAACAACAACUGCGAUUGGCUCCUCCUGGCCUGAGCGGAGAAAAGUAACAGAUCGCAGAUGACAGGGCUUUUAUUUUUUAUUCUUUUAUAAUUUUUUUUAUUUAUUUUAUUUAUUUAUUUGCUACUUAAGCAGGGGUCGGGACAAUAAUUUAUAUCGGAAUAAUUACGCUCUUUCAACAUUUUUUUAACUAAUUAAAUAAAAAAACGUAGCAUUUAACCCCGCCCAUUUUAAGGUGCUCGCUCUGAUUGGUCAUUCGCUAGGGAAGUGACAACACACAUCAUGUUUUAAUAUGGCAGCGUCCUUGUAAAUGUUGCCAGUAGCCUGAAUAAAAUUUUGCAGAUGGAUCCUGUAAUGUGGAACCGGCGUGCGUCGCUGAUCUAUGCUGUUGGCGUUUGGACCUUGUUUGGUUACGCAUAUUACAAAUACACGUACAGAGACGAUCUUCCAGUUGAAAUGCCCGUCGAAGAGGAAGACAACAGACCUAAUGUGAAGAAAUAUGUAACGACAUACUCGAAAACCACCAUUGUCCAAAGGGAGAAUUUUGUGCCUUUCUCCACAAGGUUUUUAAACCUCUUCAGAUCUACAAAUGAAAGUUCUCCAGAGAGUGAAAAACAUGAAGAAGAGAAAUAAACUGACCGUUUUUUUUUUUUUUUCCUGACAAAAAGAUGAACUGUCAUGUUUUAAACAUAUGAAUGUUUUGGGACAAUUCAACUCAAAUGCAGUUUUAAUUAAAGAGAAUCAAGUUUCCUGGCAAUCAAAAUAUAUGCCUUGCAUCUUAAAGAUCAUCUUUUGGAUCAGUCAACACUUCUAGAGAAAUGAAUAUUGUGUUCACAGUAUAUGUUAAGUUAAAUGGCACCUGAAAUCCCAAGCUUUUUAAAAAAAAAACUGUCCAGAAAAUAUAACGGAUGAUGAACUUCUUUCUAAA